GAUUAAAUAACACACUAGCAGUCAUAAUAGCCAUGAAGUCAGCGAAACUAAUGUUCCUCUAAUCACUGCAUUAGGCAAGUUUUUAAAAGCCGAGGCAGUAUAUCUGCGGUGAAAAUAUUAUCUUCGCACAACCGCUAAAUGCCUCCCAGAAUGUUCCAUACUAUGGUCUAUGCUAUUCCAGGGUUUUACAUCUGACUAUUCCAAACCACUGCUACAUUAUACAGUAAUAUGUUCAGACAAAUUCUAUGGUUAAAACAUGAUGUUAUGAACGGGUUACGGAGAAAACGGACCCCAGCGGAAACGGACCCCAAAAAUCGAGAAAACGGCCACCGCGAUGCAGAGAAUGGCCUCCGAACCUAGAGAAAACGGCCAACAUAGUUGCACGAAGAUCAAAGGAGAUUAUAUGAUUAUAUAUAUCCUCAAUAAUAGAGAUUUACUUCAUUGCGAAUAAGCUUUUAAAAACUGAUUGAUUUGGUUGGGUUUUUAUAUUCGAUAUCCAUAGCGGUUUAGACAAGUCUUGUCUAGGGAUCCGAGAUUCGCCGUGAAUUGUUUCUGAUGAAGACCAGAAACCUUGGGUAGUUGGUUUGAAUGAAAUAUUAUGAACCUUAGCGAAAACACAGCACAAAACCUCCCUGGUUUUCAGCGACGAGAUAGGGGCCUAAGAACAGACUUUCUACCCUACUAAACUGAAGACGUCAUAAGAGUGAUACACUGUUCAAAGUCACGUAAAACAUCACGCACUCAUCAAAGACACAUUACAGAACGACUUCAGCGUGACACAGUCGUCCAAAGGCAAAAUCCCCUGGAUGAAAUACGACGGAGAGGCUGUAGAAGACUCCCAGUUCUGUGUGGAGUAUCUGAACCGGAAGUUAAACAUUAACCUAAACAGUCACCUGACCGAAGAACAACGAGCUAUUGCGCAUGCGUUUAGGAAGAUGGCGGAAGAGAACCUGUACUGGUGUAUGGGGAUGGCUAGAAUUGAAAAUAUGGAGUUUAUGACAAGUAUGCCUGGAAAUAGAUUCAACAAACUAUUUAUUUGGUAUGGUAUACGCGUGUAUCGGAACCAAAUGAAAGCUCACGGAAUCGGACGACACUCCCAUGAAGAAAUCCUGCAUAUUAUGGAGGGUGAUUUGAGAUCACUGUCAGUCUACCUAGGAGAUAAGAAGUUCUUUUUCGGCGAUCAACCAUGUGAGACAGAUGCUGCUUUGUUUGGACAGUUGUCGCAGAUUUACUGGCAGUGUCCAGGAAGCAAAGGGGAACAACUCUUGAACGGUAGACCAAAGGAGUUAUCUCAUCUUUGAAGCAUUCUUUGAAGAGCCCCUAGACUAUGCCAUAAAAUCCGUUCAAACAAUAUUUCCGAAAAGUUCACAAAUCUGGUGGAGUAUUGCGAACGAAUGAAGGCGGCAUUUUGGCCGGACUGGGAGGACUGCAUCACGGUGGAAGGAACUAAAACUGCAACAAAAUGACACGAGAACUUAUUAAAUGGUCCUGAUGAACGUCAGUUGUUAAACCGGAAGUUAAUGAUGGUUCACGUUGCAUGAUCCUAACGUCGUUGUAAUCCUCUGAAGAAAAGAUGUCAGUCCAAAUAAAGAAUGCAUGAAGAUACCACACCAAACUAGAAUGCACACUAAACUGAUGUAAAUGACGUUUAUUGAUGAUGAAUAUUGUGACGUCAUUAUUUUGAGUAAAGGUGAUUAUUUGCCAAA
RNAcentral lists this unclassified non-coding RNA (1706 nucleotides) under Haliotis rubra (blacklip abalone). RNAcentral's name for it is "failed axon connections homolog, transcript variant X2". Lineage: Eukaryota; Metazoa; Mollusca; Gastropoda; Lepetellida; Haliotidae. The record is from RNAcentral.